This 460-nucleotide ribosomal RNA is filed under the name uncultured bacterium. Its description in RNAcentral is "partial 16S ribosomal RNA". It matches the Rfam family "Bacterial small subunit ribosomal RNA", at positions 338 to 795 of the family's 1533-position model. The record is from RNAcentral.
CCUACGGGGGGCAGCAGUGAGGAAUAUUGGUCAAUGGGCGCUAGCCUGAACCAGCCAAGUAGCGUGAAGGAUGACUGCCCUAUGGGUUGUAAACUUCUUUUAUAUGGGAAUAAAGUGCAGUAUGUAUACUGCUUUGCAUGUACCUUAUGAUUAAGGAUCGGCUAACUCCGUGCCAGCAGCCGCGGUAAUACGGAGGAUCCGAGCGUUAUCCGGAUUUAGUGGGUUGAAAGGGAGCGUAGGCGGGUUGUUAAGUCAGUUGUGAAAGGUUGCGGCUCAACCGUAAAAUUGCAGUUGAUACUGGCAUCCUUGAGUACAGGAGAGGUAGGCGGAAUUCGUGGUGUAGCGGUGAAAUGCUUAGAUAUCACGAAGAACUCCGAUUGCGAAGGCAGCCUGCUGGACUGUAACUGACGCUGAUGCUCGAAAGUGUGGGUAGCAAACAGGAUUAGAUACCCCAGUAGUC